AGACCCGAAACCCGGUGAUCUAGCCAUGGGCAGGUUGAAGGUUGGGUAACACUAACUGGAGGACCGAACCGACUAAUGUUGAAAAAUUAGCGGAUGACCUGUGGCUGGGGGUGAAAGGCCAAUCAAACCGGGAGAUAGCUGGUUCUCCCCGAAAGCUAUUUAGGUAGCGCCUCGUGAAUUCAUCUCCGGGGGUAGAGCACUGUUUCGGCUAGGGGGCCAUCCCGGCUUACCAACCCGAUGCAAACUGCGAAUACCGGAGAAUGUUAUCACGGGAGACACACGGCGGGUGCUAACGUCCGUCGUGAAGAGGGAAACAACCCAGACCGCCAGCUAAGGUCCCAAAGUCAUGGUUAAGUGGGAAACGAUGUGGGAAGGCCCAGACAGCCAGGAUGUUGGCUUAGAAGCAGCCAUCAUUUAAAGAAAGCGUAAUAGCUCACUGGUCGAGUCGGCCUGCGCGGAAGAUGUAACGGGGCUAAACCAUGCACCGAAGCUGCGGCAGCGAACGUAUCACUUAAAGCGAUUCAGCGGGUUACGAUUGACGGAGCGAAGCGACGUCAAAGCGUAUACAAAGUCGAGUCGGUUUAAGGAUACGUUCGUUGGGUAGGGGAGCGUUCUGUAAGCCUGCGAAGGUGGCCUGUGAGGGUUGCUGGAGGUAUCAGAAGUGCGAAUGCUGACAUAAGUAACGAUAAAGCGGGUGAAAAGCCCGCUCGCCGGAAGACCAAGGGUUCCUGUCCAACGUUAAUCGGGGCAGGGUGAGUCGACCCCUAAGGCGAGGCCGAAAGGCGUAGUCGAUGGGAAACGGGUUAAUAUUCCCGUACUUGGUGUUACUGCGAAGGGGGGACGGAGAAGGCUAUGUUGGCCGGGCGACGGUUGUCCCGGUUUAAGCGUGUAGGUGUGUGUUCCAGGUAAAUCCGGUUCACUUUAACACUGAGGCGUGACGACGAGGCACUACGGUGCUGAAGCAACAAAUGCCCUGCUUCCAGGAAAAGCCUCUAAGCAUCAGGUAACAUCAAAUCGUACCCCAAACCGACACAGGUGGUCAGGUAGAGAAUACCAAGGCGCUUGAGAGAACUCGGGUGAAGGAACUAGGCAAAAUGGUGCCGUAACUUCGGGAGAAGGCACGCUGACACGUAGGUGAAGUGAUUUACUCA
This 1151-nucleotide ribosomal RNA is filed under the name Salmonella enterica subsp. enterica serovar Infantis. RNAcentral describes it as "partial 23S ribosomal RNA". It matches the Rfam family "Bacterial large subunit ribosomal RNA", at positions 711 to 1773 of the family's 2925-position model. Lineage: Bacteria; Pseudomonadati; Pseudomonadota; Gammaproteobacteria; Enterobacterales; Enterobacteriaceae. The record is from RNAcentral. RNAcentral also lists the same sequence under 1 other name.